CGUAGCGGGAGAGGUGGGGGCGAUGAUGAGGGAGAAUGGGAUGGAAGCGUGGGGUCAUGGGGAGGGGAAGAAACUGAAAAGAUGUAGACAUAUAUAUGUGGAUGGGGUUUCUGGAUGAGAGUAGUUUGGAGGUGAUUGGUGUUGGGAAAAGAAUAGGGAACAUAAGAAUUGGGGGGGGGGGUGAUGAUGGAAACCUGGAGAGAGUCCAGAGAUGUCAGCAUGGAGAAAAGGGGAAAGGAAGCCAGAUUGUCAGCCAGCCAGCCAUUUCCAGUCUUCAGCCUGAAGCCAGCACCCCCACCAGUCCACCACCAUUGUCUUCUUCUGGGCUGUCUCCCUGGCCCCACACCAAGCAGCAACAUCUCCCAGGACAAAGGACACCAAGACACUGGCUCUGCUAUCCAGGUUCACCAACUUCCUGGUGCUCCAUCUUCUCUCCCCUCACACGGACUACAGUAAGACUCCUCAGACACAACAACGCACUGUGAUUCAGACUUUAAUGGUGGUGCUCAUUUCCACGCCACAGAGGGGGUGGCAAGGGUGGAACCCGGCACAGGGGAGUGAGCCAUUGCUCUGGUGCAGCUGGAGGAGGAACAGGGGAGCCGGGGGCUGAGGAGAGAGUUAGGGGGAAGCGUCCCCAGGGAACACAGCCCCGCCUCUGGACUGAGCGGCUUCGGUUAAGGGCUGGUAGACGCAAGGGGGCCGAUGGGCAAGGCCCUUUUCUGUCACCCUUCCCGUUCCAGCAAGAGCUCCCAGCCCCAGGCCAUCUCCGAUCUCCGGCCACGUCACACACACACACACACACACACACACACACUCACUUCCGGUCAGGCCAGGUUUACACUCCGGAGUUAUGGAGAAAUGAUGAAUUAAUUAAGAGGAAUGAACAAUAAAUAACUGAAUAAAUAACCCACUAAAGGCCCGGGCCAGGCACGCGCACGCAGCCGGCACGCCCUCCACCUUGGGGCGCCGCUCGUGCGCA
Long non-coding RNA from Leptonychotes weddellii (Weddell seal), 979 nucleotides. RefSeq lists it as uncharacterized. Lineage: Eukaryota; Metazoa; Chordata; Mammalia; Carnivora; Phocidae. The record is from RefSeq and is a predicted model, not a curated record.